Molecule: ribosomal RNA, 254 nt
Filed under: uncultured bacterium
Lineage: Bacteria
Description: partial 16S ribosomal RNA
Rfam family: Bacterial small subunit ribosomal RNA
Source: RNAcentral
UACAGAGGGGGCAAGCGUUGUUCGGAAUUACUGGGCGUAAAGAGCUCGUAGGCGGUGUGUCGCGUCGGCCGUGAAAACCUGCAGCUUAACUGUGGGCUUGCGGUCGAUACGGGCAUCACUGGAGUUCGGCAGGGGAGACUGGAAUUCCUGGUGUAGCGGUGAAAUGCGCAGAUAUCAGGAGGAACACCGGUGGCGAAGGCGGGUCUCUGGGCCGAUACUGACGCUGAGGAGCGAAAGCGUGGGGAGCGAACAGG